RNAcentral lists this ribosomal RNA (275 nucleotides) under uncultured prokaryote. RNAcentral describes it as "partial 16S ribosomal RNA". It matches the Rfam family "Bacterial small subunit ribosomal RNA", at positions 524 to 798 of the family's 1533-position model. The record is from RNAcentral.
CACGUAGGAGGCAAACGUUAUCCGGAUUUACUGGGCGUAAAGCGCGUGUAGGUGGUUCUGUAAGUAGGGCGUGAAAGCUCCCGGCUCAACUGGGAGAGGCCGUUCUAAACUGCAGAGCUAGAGGAUGGUAGAGGGAGGUGGAAUUCCAGGUGUAGCGGUGGAAUGCGCAGAUAUCUUGAGGAACACCAGUGGCGAAGGCGGCCUCCUGGACCAUUCCUGACACUCAGACGCGAAAGCUAGGGUAGCAAACGGGAUUAGAUACCCCUGUAGUCCCU